AGUCAGUCAGUUAGUUUUGAGUCUCUCAUUUAUGUAUUUAUAUAAGUAUUCUACUUUGAGACUCGAGUUGCCUUUUUGGCCAGAUAUUAUCAGUUGGGUUGUUUUAUAACCUUGCAUUGCAUUGAGUUAUUCUGUUAAGUUAGGUUUUCCGCUGAGUUAAGAAAGCCAGGCCAAGGGUUCGCUUGGGGGCCAGCAAUGGUCUUCGAGUGCCGGCCACGUCUAGGGUGUAGGCUCGGGGCGUGACACAUAGUUCUUAUUGAGAGUUAAGUUAAUAUGAACUCGCGUCCCCAAUUCGGUGCUCAAUACUACUCCCAAAAAAUACUUUGGCUCACAAGUGUUUUAAACACAUCUUUCUUUAGUUUGAGAUAAUCGCUCAAAGCUUAGCCCAAAGGCUCUUUUGGAAAACAUGGUUCCUUUCUUACUCAAAUGUAAAAACACUUAUAAACUUCUUUGGAAAUACUUAGUUCCCUAAUAGCUUUUGAGAAAUGAAC
Molecule: long non-coding RNA, 491 nt
Filed under: Solanum tuberosum (potato)
Lineage: Eukaryota; Viridiplantae; Streptophyta; Magnoliopsida; Solanales; Solanaceae
Description: long non-coding RNA (STUB_LNC000886)
Source: RNAcentral